AUUAACGCUGGAGAACUCGUCCAAUUUCCAUAUUAAAUUACGUUUAUCGGGGUCGGGGUCGUCAUACCAUUGUUUAGUAUGGGAUAGAGAGCGCUAGGGACGGAGAACCGGAAUUUUACACUGAUGCUUAUUUUUCUCCAACGCGUCGAAAAUCGCCUGUCGGCUACACAGGCAAUACUCGCGACGAACCUGCAAUAUUCGAUUAAGAGGAACGGUGGCAGUUUUCUAGAAAUUUUCCCCGAU
Molecule: non-coding RNA, 243 nt
Organism: Cinara cedri
Lineage: Eukaryota; Metazoa; Arthropoda; Insecta; Hemiptera; Aphididae
Source: the annotation of a GenBank genome assembly